RNAcentral lists this ribosomal RNA (253 nucleotides) under uncultured bacterium. Its description in RNAcentral is "partial 16S ribosomal RNA". It matches the Rfam family "Bacterial small subunit ribosomal RNA", at positions 524 to 776 of the family's 1533-position model. The record is from RNAcentral.
UACAGAGGGUGCAAGCGUUGUCCGGAAUCACUGGGCGUAAAGCGCGUGUAGGCGGCCCGGUAAGUCCGCUGUGAAAGUCCAGGGCUCAACCCUGGGAUGCCGGUGGAUACUGUCGGGCUCGAGUCCGGAAGAGGCGAGUGGAAUUCCUGGUGUAGCGGUGAAAUGCGCAGAUAUCAGGAGGAACACCAAUGGCGAAGGCAGCUCGCUGGGACGUGACUGACGCUGAGACGCGAAAGCGUGGGGAGCAAACAGG